AACGCACCUUGCACCAUUGGGAACUCCCGAUGGUACGUCUGUUUGAGUAUCAAUCAACACCUGCAAACUUUGCUUUUAACCGAGCCAUACUUUGCAUAUCGAUUGGAUAGUUUUAUUACUACCGAUUUAGAUACAUAGUCUAGCCACGCUAGUCAACAGAGUUUAACACUUCUGAGUGACGAAUGUAGCAGCAUGACUGGGGCUUCUUGAAGCCUUUAACUUUGAUCUCAAAUCAGACGAGGAUACCCGCUGAACUUAA
RNAcentral lists this unclassified non-coding RNA (259 nucleotides) under uncultured fungus. RNAcentral describes it as "sequence contains ITS2". The record is from RNAcentral. Lineage: Eukaryota; Fungi.